This 1785-nucleotide long non-coding RNA is filed under the name Homo sapiens (human). RNAcentral describes it as "HSALNT0074202". Lineage: Eukaryota; Metazoa; Chordata; Mammalia; Primates; Hominidae. The record is from RNAcentral.
AUUUGUUCCUUUGCUCCACUCUUACCAACCUUUGCUCUGAUUUGUGCCAUGAGGACUAGAAACCUGGAAACCUACGUUUCCCAGCUACUCCAUCUCCCCACACCGCAGGCUUUCUGUUAUGUUCUGAUGAUGAACUACUGCAGGAACAUAUCAGGAAAGCCAAGAGAAUCCACAGACCCUUUGAAGGAACUGUACCACCCCUGCAGACUCCCUGAGAUGCCAAAAACUGUGAAUCUGCUUGCUUUCUCAACUGGGAGGCUCAUGGUCUGGGGUUCCCCAGUGAGGAUUGUCAGGCCUCUGAGCCCAAGCUAAGCCAUCAUAUCCCCUGUGACCUGCACGUAUACAUCCAGAUGGCCUGAAGCAACUGAAGAUCCACAGAAGAAGUGAAAAUAGCCAGUUCCUGCCUUAACUGAUGACAUUCCACCAUUGUAAUUUGUUCCUGCCCCACCCUAACUGAUCAAUUGACUUUGUGACAAUACACCCUCCCUACCCUUGCGGUAAUGUAAUUUGUGAUAUUCCCUCACCCUUGUGAAGGUACUUUGUACUAUACACCCUCCCCACCCUUGAGAAGGUACUUUGUAAUAUUCUCCCCUGCCCUUAGGAAUGUACUUUGUAAGAUCCACCCCCUGCCCACAAAAAAUUGCUCCUAACUCCACCGCCUAUCCCAAACCUGUAAGAACUAAUGAUAAUCCCACCACCCUUUGCUGACUCUCUUUUCGGACUCAGCCCACCUUCACCCAGGUGAUAAAAAAGCUUUAUUGCUCACACAAAGCCUGUUUGGUGGUCUCUUCACAUGGAUGUGCAUGACAAGGAUGUGUGUUUGGAGGCAGGUUUUCCCCUUUCGCCCUUGGUAACUCACAGUUUCUCUCCUGUCUUAUGGAAUUUGCAGAGGCAUGCUGCUUAUUUCAAAUAAUCUGUGAAUUAUUUCAGUUUUCUUGGUACAUUCCUGCAGUGGUUCUUGGAGAAAAUCCGCUGUAUGAGUCUCCACACACUGUUCUAUCUGUCCAAGUGGGAGCUGCACAAUUGUCCUGUCUGCUAUCUGCCAUCUGCCUCCUAAAUCCCCCUGUCUUUUCUUCAGCCUCUCAUCUUCACCCCUGCAUACACACAUAUACAGGCACACAAAGUUGUCACAGAGCCUUUCAAGAAUAUUUUGAAUACUUAUCUGAGUAUAUAAAGUAGAGAUCUGAAGCUCUAAAAAUGAAAGUUUUUAAAAAUAAAAUUUGGCUUAGGAUGUGGAAUCUGUCCUCAUAUCAUUAACAAAAAUAUGCUUUGGAUACCACUUUGACAGUCCUCCAACACCUAUAUCAGUCAACAGGCCAACACAAAACAGAUGGCACACUCCAAAUAAGGCACCUGGAGGAGGGUGCAUCUACAACGGACCUAGUUACAGAGGUGUUAAGUACAGGGGAAUCGCGAGAGGUAGUGUUGCAAUCUAAGACUCAGUAAAGAGAAGAGAGAAGAGAUUAGUUAACAGAGAAUUUAGAACAGUGACCUGGACAAAGGUCAGCUUAUCUUGCAAGGAGAGAGUUAGGCAAAUAAUGCCCUGACCUCAUUCUGCAACUCCCCGCUAAACUUCUGGGGCUUCCCAUUGGUUGGACAUAGGGGAUGUUAGAACACAUGAGAACCUCUCAAAAUCCAUACAGGCCAGGCUCUCAGAGAAGACAGGAGAGUGAAAAACUGGCAGAAAGUGGACCUAAAGGAGAAAGUGAAAGAUGCUCAGAACAAUAUUCUUAUUCAGAGGUUAUACAAAGAUUGUUUUAAUUAAAUAUACAAUAUAUGCUGGAA